GAGCGGUCAGCACAGAGCCGGAUGCCGGGCUCACAGUGAGAACAUGACCUGAAGCCCAAGUCGGAUGCCUUAACCUACCGAGCCACCCAGGCACCCCAUUGGCAGCUUUAUUUUUAAGGUUAACACCACCAACAAUGCUUCCCAUUUCUGGAUGCCCAUGCUGCUGUUCCUUUCUGAGGUGGUGUCGUUAUUGAGCAAGAAGUCCAACUUACUCUCAGGAGAGUAAGGCCCAGCCAGCCCCCAGUGGUUCCAGCCCCAGAUGAGCUCCCAGUUGAAUUUACCAGUGACCCAGCAAACAUCCUGUGGAAGAACUGCCUAGCUGCAUCUGGCCAUCCCUUGGAAUGAUCAUCCUGGAUCUUCUGGGUGAGCCCCAAAUCCAAAGAAUGAGAAGUGUCCUGAUAAGAAACAGAUGAGGGGCAUCUGGCUGGCUCAGUUGGUAGAGCAUGCGACUCUUGAAUUUGUAAAUUGGAGCCCAUGUUGGGUGUAGAGUUUACUUAAAAUCUUGAAAAGAAAAGAAAAGAAACAGAAGAAGAGAAAACAGAGAGAAGAAAGCAAAGAGACGGAGGUGGAGCCAGAGGAUGGAAUGACAUGGCCACAGGCCAAGGGAUGCCCCGGGGCCACAGGAUCUGAAAGAAGCCGGGAGGGAUCCUCUCCUAGAGCUUUCCGAGGGAGCCAGGCCCUGAUGUCACCUUGAUCUCAGACUUCCGGCCUCCAGAAAGGUAUGAUCUUGGAUGAGCUAACCUCUCUGGACCUCAGUUUCUUCAUCUGUAAAAUGGAGAUGAUAAUAAUAACACCUGUCUGUUAAGGUCACCCACUGAAAACUUAAGGAAUGAAGAGAAACUUUGUUUUGUUCCAUCAGAAAUCUGGGCGAGAAUAAUUUCAAACCAUGCUGACAAAGGAGUCAUCAAAUUGCUGUUAAGGUCCCUUUGCACUGGGGCCAUGGACUGGAGCCAUUCUAGGAGACCCCUUCUACAACUUCAGCUGUUUUCACAUUCCCAUUUCCUUUUCUGCGUAAAUCUACCAGAAUCAGUUUCCAGUGCUUGCAUUUGUGAAUCCCAACUGGUGGAGGUUUCCUUGGAACCCAAGUGUGGAGCACAUCCAGGCCUCACCAGGAACCAGAAAAACAGCCCUCGCCAUGCUACUUGGCUCAGAGUGACCAUCAAUAAUUGUUGCUAUUGGGGCACGUGGGUGGCUCGGGCGGUUGAGUGUCCGACUUCGACUCAGAUCGUGAUCUCGUGGUCUGUGAGUUUGAGCCCGGCAUCAGGCUCUGUGCUGACAGCUCAGAG
Molecule: long non-coding RNA, 1286 nt
Organism: Felis catus (domestic cat)
Lineage: Eukaryota; Metazoa; Chordata; Mammalia; Carnivora; Felidae
Exons: 6
Source: RefSeq, a predicted model, not a curated record